RNAcentral lists this ribosomal RNA (1204 nucleotides) under Salmonella enterica. RNAcentral describes it as "partial 23S ribosomal RNA". It matches the Rfam family "Bacterial large subunit ribosomal RNA", at positions 1 to 1135 of the family's 2925-position model. Lineage: Bacteria; Pseudomonadati; Pseudomonadota; Gammaproteobacteria; Enterobacterales; Enterobacteriaceae. The record is from RNAcentral.
GGGUUGUGAGGUUAAGCGACUAAGCGUACACGGUGGAUGCCCUGGCAGUCAGAGGCGAUGAAGGACGUGCUAAUCUGCGAUAAGCGCCGGUAAGGUGAUAUGAACCGUUAUAACCGGCGAUUUCCGAAUGGGGAAACCCAGUGUGAUUCGUCACACUAUCAUUAACUGAAUCCAUAGGUUAAUGAGGCGAACCGGGGGAACUGAAACAUCUAAGUACCCCGAGGAAAAGAAAUCAACCGAGAUUCCCCCAGUAGCGGCGAGCGAACGGGGAGGAGCCCAGAGCCUGAAUCAGCAUGUGUGUUAGUGGAAGCGUCUGGAAAGACGCGCGAUACAGGGUGACAGCCCCGUACACAAAAGCGCAUGUGCUGUGAGCUCGAUGAGUAGGGCGGGACACGUGGUAUCCUGUCUGAAUAUGGGGGGACCAUCCUCCAAGGCUAAAUACUCCUGACUGACCGAUAGUGAACCAGUACCGUGAGGGAAAGGCGAAAAGAACCCCGGCGAGGGGAGUGAAAAAGAACCUGAAACCGUGUACGUACAAGCAGUGGGAGCCCCACCACUAAGCCAGUGGUGAACUCCACAUACGCAUCCUUUGCUGAGGAUACGGUUAACGGAGCGAAAGCGACGUUCAACCUCAAAAGAAGCAGAGGGGGCUUAGUGGUGGGGUGACUGCGUACCUUUUGUAUAAUGGGUCAGCGACUUAUAUUCUGUAGCAAGGUUAACCGAAUAGGGGAGCCGGAGGGAAACCGAGUCUUAACCGGGCGUUAAGUUGCAGGGUAUAGACCCGAAACCCGGUGAUCUAGCCAUGGGCAGGUUGAAGGUUGGGUAACACUAACUGGAGGACCGAACCGACUAAUGUUGAAAAAUUAGCGGAUGACCUGUGGCUGGGGGUGAAAGGCCAAUCAAACCGGGAGAUAGCUGGUUCUCCCCGAAAGCUAUUUAGGUAGCGCCUCGUGAACUCAUCUCCGGGGGUAGAGCACUGUUUCGGCUAGGGGGCCAUCCCGGCUUACCAACCCGAUGCAAACUGCGAAUACCGGAGAAUGUUAUCACGGGAGACACACGGCGGGUGCUAACGUCCGUCGUGAAGAGGGAAACAACCCAGACCGCCAGCUAAGGUCCCAAAGUCAUGGUUAAGUGGGAAACGAUGUGGGAAGGCCCAGACAGCCAGGAUGUUGGCUUAGAAGCAGCCAUCAUUUAAAGAAAGCGU